Molecule: unclassified non-coding RNA, 981 nt
Filed under: Hevea brasiliensis (rubber tree)
Lineage: Eukaryota; Viridiplantae; Streptophyta; Magnoliopsida; Malpighiales; Euphorbiaceae
Source: RNAcentral
CUAUUGAAAAAGUCCUUAUUGCAAACAAUACAUCGCUUAUCCAAGAUGAAGUCCUUUCUCACAGGUUGGGCCUCAUUCCGAUCAAUGCUGACCCUAGGCUGUUUGAGUAUCUUUCAGCAAAUGAUACACCAAAUGAAAAGAACACCAUUGUCUUCAAACUUCAUGUUCGUUGCAAGCAAGGUGAACCUCGUCGAACGGUAUAUUCUGAAGAAUUGAAGUGGUUAGCAAAUGGGAGUGAGUUUAUCAAGGAAUCAGAAAAGGUUGAUUCAAAGCCUAGCACCUAUACUUCAUUUAGUUGCAGUCAAGAUUCCCUACAGAACUUCUUGAGCAAUCCAAUCAGCCCAACGGAAGACAAGAUUAUACUUGCUAAACUUGGCACUGGGCAGGAAAUUGAACUUGAAGCUCAUGCUGUUAAAGGCAUGGGUAAAACACAUGCAAAAUGGUCUCCUGUUGCCACUGCUUGGUAUCGGAUGCUUCCUGAGGUUGUAUUAUUAGAAGAUGUUCAAGAUGAGACAGCUGAAGAGCUUAAGAAGAAAUGCCCUGUUAAUGUAUUUGAUAUUGAAGACAUUGGAAAUGGGAAGAAGAGGGCAACCGUUGCUCGGCCACGAGCUUGCACACUGUGUAGGGAGUGCAUUAGAGGGGGAGAAGAAUGGGAGAAACGUGUGGCACUGCAUCGUGUUAAAGAUCAUUUCAUAUUUACUAUUGAAUCAACUGGAGCUUUGCCUCCUGAAGUGCUAUUUACUGAGGCUGUGAAGAUUUUGGAAGAUAAGUGUGAACGUGUAAUUACUGAGCUUUCUUGAAUCUUCUUUGUACCCCUCCUUUCUUUAUUUGAUAUGAAAAGAAUGUAUUGAAGGACUGUACUGAAACUAGUGCAUCUUAUGUUGCUUCCAGAGAAAUAUCAAUUUUUGUGCAUCUCUUGGUUCGAGAUUUUGCCCUGUUCUUUAUAAAAUCCUAGUUUCGCCAAAAGAUGCACAAAAAUUG